AUCAGAGCUCGUAAAAAUCUGACGAACCAAACAAGGGUGGGGUUUACGCAUUCGUGGAAAAUUUGAAUAUUUCUGCUCGAGGUUUUGAGGCGUGAUUUUGACUCAAAGUUUAGGAAAGUACACAGCAAAGUUAGUGUAAAACUUCGCUUUUAUGAAACGUUUUCGAAAUAAAAUCGUUAUACCAUGCAGAGGGAAAGGUCAGUAUUAAGUUUAGCUAUUUUUUAAACGUUUUUGAGUUGUUCUUGUUAAUUUAUUGCUGUUUUUUAAAACACGCGUGUCUAUAUUCAUUGUAGUACGUAUUUAAUUCCCGUUCAAGCGCUUCGUUUCAGUACUCAGUGGCUUUAAUUUCUCACUGUCCCUCCCUAAUUUCCUAGCAGAAAUGUUCAGAAAUACCCCCAGCUUUGAUUCAUUUAACUCAUAUUUAGUCUACCUGCAAUUUCAGGGCGAACAUUUGAAGAGAAAGUGAACUAAUUUAAGUCGCCGACAUUGUCGAAAUGCCGAAGCACUUGGUAAGCAUAAUGUCCAUUAAUAAAGGCGUUCCCUUCUUGUUGUUUGUUUGUUUCUCGUUUUUAAGCUUCCCCAGUACACCUAGAACGUCUUCUAGCAUUGCUUUGUAGCCUUAUAUGAACACUCCGAGUCAAGUUUAGUUACAAUAUUGGUGAAACUUUUGUCCAUACCGAGCGAAUUGCAGACUUUACUUUAGGCAAGGUCAAUUUCACAUACAGGCGUGGUAUAUUAUUUUAGAACAUUUUAGCUUUUACAAACUAGUCGUUUAUGUACAAAUUGUUCUCUGAGACGGAAAGCUAAGCUUUUUGAGUUUUUCGAGGUUGUCGAAGUCGAAUUUCAUCUAAUAUUUUUACGAAAUUUCGAGACGAAAUGUCCUCGUGGUUCAUGCCCUAAUUUUAUGCAUAGAUGUACGCAUUCUUUAAAAUUAAAAUAUACAUUGAAUAGCUCUUCGUUGUUUUGAAACUAAAAAUUCAUUGUCCAAUUUUUUAGACUGCCUGAAAGUCGAACAUUUCAAAGGCAAACAGUACAGGAAGGCUUCUGAACAGAUUUGAAGAGGCGCUCGCCCAGCAGUCGAAACAAAACGAGAAAGACGAGAAGGCAAAGGACAAAUGAGACCAACCGCCAGCUCGAUUCCUUUGCGAACCCACAGCAUUGUCAGAUUUCGUUCGUGCAAAGUUUGGAAGAGAUAACCACUCAUCCAGGGACUGUAACGAAGGCACAUAAUAACAUACUCGAACAUGCAGUUUGUGCCAACGUAGAUAGUGAUAAUGACACCAAAAAGCUGUAGAUGAUCAUUGAUCACUGAUCAUCAUUAGAUUUCGCUCAACCAACCAAUUGCGAAGACAUACGAAGCGUCGUUAAAGAUGUUGUACAUUUCGGGAUUCUCGUUGUGCGUGUUCGAAAGUACGUGGGACGCCACCUUGAAGACGCCCAAAUGCACAAAACAAAUUAAAUUAGAAUGUGGCACAUUUUCCUUAAUUUCGCAAUUUAUUCAAAUUUUCUGCAUUUCUUGGUAUUUGUGAAAAGCUCUAAACGAAAUCGAAAUGUUUGAAAUUCGGAAGUUUCUAUCUGGGAGUUUGUUUAUUUGAAAGAUAUUUGAAAUGAAAUUUUGAAGUUUACAUCAUUUUGGUAUUUGGGUUAAACGCUAGGUAAAAUCAUGCCAGAUGAGUGGUUGACCAUUCGUCGACGUUGGGUGAUAUUUCGACUCGGACUUUCCCGACCUCACAGUCAAGUUGUUCGGAUCGAUUGUCGUGAUCAACUAGCACAGGUGCAAGGUCUGCCCAACCUUACAUCAGUGCUUUUUGUUCGUGGCAUGAGAUUGGGACAGCUCGCCUGUAGGCCUGGAAAGAUCAAGCCGAAGUACCACCAAACUUUGAUUUGUUGCCGGCUUUUUGUCUGUAUGGCUUUAUCCAGCGUUUUUCCGUUAUCACCUUGAUGCAGACUUUGGGAUUUUGGCUUGAAUAUCUUUAAUAUAGACAUUCUUUGAGGUUUAAUCUUUCAAGAAUUUCAUGGUUUUUGACUAGUUAAUGUGUUUCUCGCAGAUACUAUAAUUGUAUUAAAAUAUUGACAAAAAAAACUAAAACUGACCAAAACAUCAUUUGAGGUGUCGGAUGGGAGGGUCCAGUGGGCGUCGUAGCGGAUCAAUGGAUAAAUACGGAUAACUGUGACACUGUGUACUAUUGGAGAUGUUGUGAACAUUUAUGGAUAAUUGUGAACAUUAAUGGAUUACAACGAACACUAGAUUAUUAUGAACAUUUGUGGAUAAAAUGUACUUCGCGAUCGACGGUUACCUACCAAUGUACCUUGACAACGAAAGCUACACGACGGCAACGAGAUGACUGCCUCAAGGUUAGAGGGUUUAGUCUGAUAACAAGCAGUUGUUCGCUUGUUAUCAUGCAGUAGUUAGCCUGCUAACAGGCAGUAUAUCUGUAGGAUUCAUACCCAGGAUUCUAAUUUGCAUGUGAAGUCUCUGGGUUAACCGGUUUAAAAUUCCUGGCGGUCUCUCGUUAGUAGUACAUUUGCACGCAAGAUUGAUUUUCAUUCAGAUGUUUGCAUGCUAAUACCAAUUGAGGUACAAUUUUGACCUCAGUUAAUUAGAAUUUCGACAUCGUCUGCAAUCGAAAGUCGAUCUUAAAGAGGUUAACAUUUGAGCUUUCGGUCACGUGGUUCGUUGCAUGCACUCGGUUCGGUUAUUGGUGGGUUUCAGUAAAUGUUACAGUCCAGGCAAUGGUCAACAUUAGAAAUGUUGGCACUUCCUGGAGCAAUUUAUUUGCUUCAAAUACAAGACUACUACAUAAGUGAAAAAGAAUGAACAUUAUUCUUUCACUCCAGUAACUCGUAGUGAGACCCACUAGGUAUUUGCGGUCUGUUCGUGCCAAUGUUGUUCUCUUUGUGUAAAUAUACUGCUUAUGUGUCUCCGUGUCUGUGCAUGGAUGAACGCAGUGCGCAGCUAGGUAUCCAGAAUAUAGGCAGACGAGUAAAACCGUGCCAGACUUAAAAUUUUGUUUAUAUCGGUAUGUUACGUUCACAAAUGUAUAGAAAUAUCAUGAAAUGUGUUAAGCUUUGGCUUGGGGUUAAAUCUAACCCUGUAAUCUUAACCUUAAUCCAUUACAUGAUCUGUAUGUUUGUGUACGUAAUAUAUGGGUGUUGCCAAAAUUUUGUUGAAAAGCUGGCAUAGUUUUCCUUGGGUAGGAUAACUAAACUGGGUGCAAAUUGUAUCCAUAGCUUAGAGGGUGCAAAUGGUACCCGUAAGAAGAUUGGUGGAUAUCGUCGUGGACAAGAUUUUUUUUUGAACGAUGUGGGUUGUCUCCGGGUACUCCGGUUAACACCUACAAAAAGAUCAGCUUAGGACUGUAAUGACAUAAUUAUUGUAAAUGAUAAAUAGUGCGUGGUUUCGUCGCCCGUAGUGCAUGUAUAUCGCUGGUUUCGAACGUUAGUUUUCUGCCCCGUGUUAAAUGAAAACAUUUCGCUACCAGAGAUUAGGUCCCCUCUCUGUUAUGGCCGCUCGACGAUGGAAGACAUUAACAUAAGGCAUGCAAACCUUACCCCUGUUUGUGGAAGCUCGCCAGGUGCUAUGACACACUAGGUUAAGUUAAGCUAGGGGCAUGACCGAGACUCCACAUUCAGGGGAUUCCCUUGCAGGUUUUUGAAAGGUUAUAUGCGCGCGCACUAGUUAGAAAGGUUAGACAGCUAGAAAUCAGGCGCUUUUGCUGCUUUUUGCAUGUAUACUAUAAGGCAUGUAUACUAUAAUGCAUGUAUACUAUAAGGCAUGUAUCACUAUAAUUCAAUAUCGUCAUACUUUUGCGCCAGUAACUUUCUGUAAAGUAUUUACGAAACAGGAAAAUGGAAUCUGUUUUCCUGCUGAAAAAUACUUACAGUACCAAUUCAAAGUGGAAAAAAGAACAUAUUGCGAAAAAGAGAAAAAUGAAAAAGAAAACCGCGAAGCCACUUUGAAUAUAAGCCACAAUAGUCCAAGAAUACUAGUUGCAGAAAAAAACAACAAAAAAGAAACAAUUUUCUGCCUAAAAUGUCUUGGAUUACGGGCUUAACGAUAAGAAACGUAGUUCUCGUUCCAAAGUGGAGAAUAGGCUCGUUUCUUUAGGGCGUUGCGCGCGCAUUUUAUAAAUUGUACUAUAAGUUUUCAGUUGAAAAGACCGCCAGGGAAAAUAGAGUGUUUUUAUGUGUUUGUUUGUUGACGGACAAGUAUUUUAAAAUAAAGUUUUCUUGUUUACUUGUAUUUCGGCACUUUAACUUGUUCUCAAACAUAGCCGCCGUGAGAACACUCUGCAGAUCAAGUUUAUAUAUGGUCGCAAUAGCAAUAUAGAAUGUUUGCCAUCAGUUGCAUUCCGUGUUGCCUUGCAUUGUUCAUAGAUAAGUUUGGUCGAACCAUGGAUCAUAAAAACACCAUGGUCGUGCGCAGCUAAUUAACAUAAGCGGCGCACGCGUGCUGCUCUAAUGCGGAGUACAGUCAGUGAGUGUACUCCAUCAGUGUGCAAAUAGUGACGUGUGCUCUAUAUAGUCUGGACUCGAAAAAUAAAUUAAGGUGCAUGUUGAUCAGAAUAAAGUGCGCAACGUGUCAUGCAUAUUAAUAAUAAACGCGCUCAGUUGCAUGCUUAGUAAAAUUGAGGGCAUGAAAACCAGUGCAUGCUAAUUUAAAUUGAGUGCGCGCGUUCGCCAUUUUCUUGCGCG
This 4695-nucleotide long non-coding RNA is filed under the name Paramuricea clavata. The record is from RNAcentral. Lineage: Eukaryota; Metazoa; Cnidaria; Anthozoa; Malacalcyonacea; Plexauridae.